RNAcentral lists this ribosomal RNA (49 nucleotides) under Cordyceps tenuipes. RNAcentral's name for it is "partial 28S ribosomal RNA". Lineage: Eukaryota; Fungi; Ascomycota; Sordariomycetes; Hypocreales; Cordycipitaceae. The record is from RNAcentral.
GUUGACCUCGGAUCAGGUAGGACUACCCGCUGAACUUAAGCAUAUCAUA